RNAcentral lists this unclassified non-coding RNA (311 nucleotides) under uncultured Nemania. RNAcentral describes it as "sequence contains ITS1". The stretch from base 1 to 105 matches the Rfam family "5.8S ribosomal RNA", at positions 50 to 154 of the family's 154-position model. Lineage: Eukaryota; Fungi; Ascomycota; Sordariomycetes; Xylariales; Xylariaceae. The record is from RNAcentral.
GAAAUGCGAUAAGUAAUGUGAAUUGCAGAAUUCAGUGAAUCAUCGAAUCUUUGAACGCACAUUGCGCCCACUAGUAUUCUGGUGGGCAUGCCUGUUCGAGCGUCAUUUCAACCCUUAAGCCCCUGUUGCUUAGCGUUAGGAGCCUACCGGAACUCUCUGGUAGCUCCCCAAAGUCAGUGGCGGAGCCGGUUCGCACUCCAGACGUAGUAGCUUUUACACGUCGCCUGUAGCGCGGGCCGGUCCCCUGCCGUAAAACACCCCAAUUUUUAUAGGUUGACCUCGGAUCAGGUAGGAAUACCCGCUGAACUUAA